AAAUCACAUUGGUCAAGUAUUGAAAACAAGUGUUUAGUUCAAUCAGAUAUUUGGAAACACUCACCAAAGGUCUAGUGCCUCUCAAAAGUCAUAUUCAGGUCCAACUCCUUGGUUGGAGUCCAAAUCUGCGAUAAAAUAUCAUUUACGAAUGUAAAACUCUCUAGAGUUCGAAACAUAGGAGUUUCGUUUCAAGAAAAUCAAGUAAAUGCAACUCAUUAAAGUAGUAUUCAAGAUACUUAUCAAAUUCUGAAAAAUUCAUGCUCGCUCGUUUAGUUAUGAUCAAGAAGUGGUUUUGACUUUAGAAGUUACACUUGGUAUUAAAGACCGGAAAAAUCGUAUUUUGAAAAGGUCGCUACUUUCACUUUUCAAGGGUACGAGUUUCAGCAAAAUUUUAUCUUAUAUACCCUGACUAAAGAAAACUUGAAUACCAUAGGCGAUCCAAGUCCAACUUGACCUCAAAUCGUCGCUCAAGUCGCAGGUACAUAUGCCUAACUCUCGAGUGAAAAUUUGGGCAGCACGCCCUUUGUGUUUACCUAUUUUCCAGCCAUUUAUGACUUCAUUGUUUUUCUCAAUCAGCCCCAAAAUCACACAAAAAUAAUGUUACCACCAUAGCCCUUCAAUUAGGCUCCAAAAUAAUCCAAUUACAACACAAGUCUUAACAAGGCAACCGGAAAUCAAGUUUAAAGGCAAAUAGCUAAAUGACAGAUUUGACGUCUCUUAGCGUAUCGGUCACAACUGAAGCUAUGCUUAUCAGAUUGGGGUAAAAUUUAUACCAUUUCGAAGCUAAGACAAAGGGUUACAACUUUGAUGAAGACAACUCAACCCAGUUAAUAGUUUAUCCAGGUCGAAUCUACAAAUUACAGAACCAGAAGUUCAUGACCAGGAGGGUUGUCAGUACUGAAUUCAAACGACAAUAACUUAGGCUACACAAUUCCGUUUGAGGCAUUUUUGGUUGUGUUGGAAAGCUGAAACAUAGGGCUAAACCUUUCAUGUUUUGGCCAAAGGCUGAUUUGAAAUAGAUCAAGGUGAAAAAAAUGCAGCCAGAAUGAUGAAAUGUCACAACUGUCCGCAAAACUAUACCUAUGGCAGUCAAGGGUAUUUCUAUCAUUUCAUGUGAUACAGCGCUCAGAUUAAGCUGAAAUUUUACAGGCAGAUAUAAAAUAUCAUUUUCCACAACUUUCAUGUUUUGAGUUAAGCCCAAUUCAGCUUCCAUCAUGGCCGAAUGAAACUGGUCAGAACAGGGUAGUACUAAAACUUAAAGCUGGAAUUAAUGCAUUCAAGUGAUAAUCUUCUUAUUCAUGUAUAAAACCACUACUACCACUCCCUAUCUAAACUUAUUCACAUCACAUUCUAGAUAAAUAACACUAAUAAAAAUAGAAAAUUACAAACCCUAGCUGAAAAUUAUAAGUUAAAAAGCCAAACCAUGAAAUCUUCCAUACAAUCCACCACAAUCAAGCCAUGCUUUGCUUAAAUUGCAAAAUAAGAAAGAAACAAGGGAGGUUUCUAGUAUAAUACCUCAAAAUCUCUAAAAUAACUUGUGAUACAAGAACUUUCUUCCUCCCAAAAGUUCCACCAAACUCACCUCCAAGCUUUCCCAACGAUUAAUCGGAGUAGAAUCAAGUUUUACGGUAAUUUUCUCAAGAAUCAAGCAAGCUCUCAAGUUGGAAAAAUGGAAAAUUUUCUCUCUUCUCUUUUUCCUCUCCUAAGUCACGAUCAAGCAU
This 1721-nucleotide long non-coding RNA is filed under the name Coffea arabica (coffee). Its description in RNAcentral is "long non-coding RNA (CARA_LNC004683)". Lineage: Eukaryota; Viridiplantae; Streptophyta; Magnoliopsida; Gentianales; Rubiaceae. The record is from RNAcentral.